This 2307-nucleotide ribosomal RNA is filed under the name Salmonella enterica subsp. enterica serovar Saintpaul. RNAcentral describes it as "partial 23S ribosomal RNA". It matches the Rfam family "Bacterial large subunit ribosomal RNA", at positions 1 to 2236 of the family's 2925-position model. The record is from RNAcentral. Lineage: Bacteria; Pseudomonadati; Pseudomonadota; Gammaproteobacteria; Enterobacterales; Enterobacteriaceae.
GGGUUGUGAGGUUAAGCGACUAAGCGUACACGGUGGAUGCCCUGGCAGUCAGAGGCGAUGAAGGACGUGCUAAUCUGCGAUAAGCGCCGGUAAGGUGAUAUGAACCGUUAUAACCGGCGAUUUCCGAAUGGGGAAACCCAGUGUGACUCGUCACACUAUCAUUAACUGAAUCCAUAGGUUAAUGAGGCGAACCGGGGGAACUGAAACAUCUAAGUACCCCGAGGAAAAGAAAUCAACCGAGAUUCCCCCAGUAGCGGCGAGCGAACGGGGAGGAGCCCAGAGCCUGAAUCAGCAUGUGUGUUAGUGGAAGCGUCUGGAAAGGCGCGCGAUACAGGGUGACAGCCCCGUACACAAAAGCGCAUGUGCUGUGAGCUCGAUGAGUAGGGCGGGACACGUGGUAUCCUGUCUGAAUAUGGGGGGACCAUCCUCCAAGGCUAAAUACUCCUGACUGACCGAUAGUGAACCAGUACCGUGAGGGAAAGGCGAAAAGAACCCCGGCGAGGGGAGUGAAAAAGAACCUGAAACCGUGUACGUACAAGCAGUGGGAGCACAGGUUUACCUGUGUGACUGCGUACCUUUUGUAUAAUGGGUCAGCGACUUAUAUUCUGUAGCAAGGUUAACCGUAUAGGGGAGCCGGAGGGAAACCGAGUCUUAAUUGGGCGUUAAGUUGCAGGGUAUAGACCCGAAACCCGGUGAUCUAGCCAUGGGCAGGUUGAAGGUUGGGUAACACUAACUGGAGGACCGAACCGACUAAUGUUGAAAAAUUAGCGGAUGACCUGUGGCUGGGGGUGAAAGGCCAAUCAAACCGGGAGAUAGCUGGUUCUCCCCGAAAGCUAUUUAGGUAGCGCCUCGUGAAUUCAUCUCCGGGGGUAGAGCACUGUUUCGGCUAGGGGGCCAUCCCGGCUUACCAACCCGAUGCAAACUGCGAAUACCGGAGAAUGUUAUCACGGGAGACACACGGCGGGUGCUAACGUCCGUCGUGAAGAGGGAAACAACCCAGACCGCCAGCUAAGGUCCCAAAGUCAUGGUUAAGUGGGAAACGAUGUGGGAAGGCCCAGACAGCCAGGAUGUUGGCUUAGAAGCAGCCAUCAUUUAAAGAAAGCGUAAUAGCUCACUGGUCGAGUCGGCCUGCGCGGAAGAUGUAACGGGGCUAAACCAUGCACCGAAGCUGCGGCAGCGAACGUAUCACCCAAGACAACUUUACGGAGUUGACGAUUGACGGAGCGAAGCGACGUCAAAGCGUUCAUUAAAGUCGAGUUGGCUUAGGGAUACGUUCGUUGGGUAGGGGAGCGUUCUGUAAGCCUGUGAAGGUGUGUCGUGAGGCAUGCUGGAGGUAUCAGAAGUGCGAAUGCUGACAUAAGUAACGAUAAAGCGGGUGAAAAGCCCGCUCGCCGGAAGACCAAGGGUUCCUGUCCAACGUUAAUCGGGGCAGGGUGAGUCGACCCCUAAGGCGAGGCCGAAAGGCGUAGUCGAUGGGAAACGGGUUAAUAUUCCCGUACUUGGUGUUACUGCGAAGGGGGGACGGAGAAGGCUAUGUUGGCCGGGCGACGGUUGUCCCGGUUUAAGCGUGUAGGUGUGUGUUCCAGGUAAAUCCGGUUCACUUUAACACUGAGGCGUGACGACGAGGCACUACGGUGCUGAAGCAACAAAUGCCCUGCUUCCAGGAAAAGCCUCUAAGCAUCAGGUAACACGAAAUCGUACCCCAAACCGACACAGGUGGUCAGGUAGAGAAUACCAAGGCGCUUGAGAGAAUUCGGGUGAAGGAACUAGGCAAAAUGGUGCCGUAACUUCGGGAGAAGGCACGCUGACAUGUAGGUGAAGUGAUUUACUCAUGGAGCUGAAGUCAGUCGAAGAUACCAGCUGGCUGCAACUGUUUAUUAAAAACACAGCACUGUGCAAACACGAAAGUGGACGUAUACGGUGUGACGCCUGCCCGGUGCCGGAAGGUUAAUUGAUGGGGUCAGCGCAAGCGAAGCUCCUGAUCGAAGCCCCGGUAAACGGCGGCCGUAACUAUAACGGUCCUAAGGUAGCGAAAUUCCUUGUCGGGUAAGUUCCGACCUGCACGAAUGGCGUAAUGAUGGCCAGGCUGUCUCCACCCGAGACUCAGUGAAAUUGAACUCGCUGUGAAGAUGCAGUGUACCCGCGGCAAGACGGAAAGACCCCGUGAACCUUUACUAUAGCUUGACACUGAACAUUGAGCCUUGAUGUGUAGGAUAGGUGGGAGGCUUUGAAGCGUGGACGCCAGUCUGCGUGGAGCCGACCUUGAAAUACCACCCUUUAAUGUUUGAUGUUCUAACGUGGACCCGU